Non-coding RNA from Brugia pahangi, 73 nucleotides. Lineage: Eukaryota; Metazoa; Nematoda; Chromadorea; Rhabditida; Onchocercidae. The record is from Rfam.
GCCCUUCUAGCUCAGUUGGUAGAGCAUCAGACUUUUAAUCUGAGGGUCGUGGGUUCGAGUCCCACGGAGGGCA